GAUAAUAAGCUUGGGGAAGGUGGUUAUGGUGCGGUUUUCAAAGGAAGGCUAGAUGAUGGUCGUCUAGUGGCUGUGAAAUUCUUGCACAACUCCAAAGGAGAAGGAGAGGAGUUUGUUAACGAGGUUAUGAGCAUUGGCAGGACCUCUCAUGUUAAUAUUGUUAACUUAUUUGGGUUUUGUUUGGAAGGCUCAAAGCGGGCCCUAAUAUAUGAGUUCAUGCCCAAUGGUUCUUUGGAUAAGUUCAUAUACUCAGAGAAUCCUAAAGCAGUUUUAGGAUGGGAUAAGCUCUAUACAAUAGCGAUUGGAAUUGCUCGAGGAUUGGAAUACUUGCAUCACAGUUGUAAUACACGCAUUAUCCAUUUUGAUAUCAAGCCUCAAAAUAUCCUUCUAGAUGAGGAUUUUCACCCAAAGGUUGCUGAUUUCGGUUUGGCCAAAUUGUGCCAUACCAAGGAGAGCAAGCUUUCUAUGACUGGUGCUAGAGGGACAGUUGGUUUUAUUGCUCCUGAAGUGCACUCUCGAACCUUUGGAGUUGUUUCAACAAAAUCAGAUGUUUAUAGUUAUGGAAUGAUGCUAUUAGAGAUGGUUGGAGGUAGAAAAAAUGUGAAAUCAGUUGCUCAGAAAUCAAGUGAAAAGUAUUUUCCACAUUGGAUUUAUGAUCAUUUUAGACAAGGUGAUGGAUUACAAGCAUGUGAGGUCUCAAGUGAAGAUGAAGGAAUAGCCAAAAAGAUGAGUGUGAUUGGCCUGUGGUGCAUCCAAAUACUACCAAUGCAUCGCCCUACAAUAGCAAAGGUUUUGGAAAUGUUUGAGCGAGGUUUAGAUGAUUUGGACAUGCCACCGAGACAAAACUUCAGCCAAAUUCUGUAAGAUGUUCACGAUACUUAUUUCUGCAACUGCUCACUACUAUUUACUAUAGCAUUGAUGUUUUAGAAACAAUUUUUUUCAUUCUUUUGCAGCGAGGAUCCAUCUUACAAUUUGAAUGCAGAAAGCACGAGUACAAGAAGUGGUACCAAAACUCAAGUUUUUAGCGAAGUGCUAAAAAUGAAGGAGAUGAGCGUUGUGAAUUCAAAAAGCUUACAUCGGCUACCAACUCUGUGACAAGGUUACCUAGCAUUGGAAUUAUGCACUGAACUUAUGCAUCUAUAUGAGAGAGGGUAGAAAUCUUAAGUUACUCUGAUACUUGUCUCAAAAGAAACAUGCCUACUAUAAUAUUUUGCAUUCAAAGUCAUUAAGGUCCCAAGAAGGAAAGUUUUGCAACUAUGCAUACGAUAUUUUGACAUAAUCCUAAUAUUUCUAUAUUUUUGUUAGUUAGACCUUCUCAUUGUUCUUCGUCGACGUACCAGCACACCUUAUAGUCAUCCAUCACCAAAAAUCUCCCAAAUGCUAAUUUUACAUUUUUACCAGAAUUAGGUAACUGAAAAGGUAUCCAAGACAUUACACAUACUAGAAAAAAAUCAAGGCAUCACAGUUUUCAAGUCAUGGCCUUAUUAGUAGAGUCGAUCAGCAUAUAGUUGGAUCCUGGAUUAUUGCCAUGUUGAAAUACGAGGAUGAAGGCAUGAAGCUGAUCGUAGCCAUGAGUCACGACACACAUAUAACUGAGGCCUAAAGGGGCAUAAAUUUUGCUUGACUGAUUGAGUUAGGUUCCAAACACCGGUGCAUCAGCUAUGAAGUUUCUUAGUUUAAUCUUCAGGUUCCAAUCAAAAGUUAAGGUUGACAGUUGAAACCCACAAGCCGUCCAAGUGAACCCAAAAAAGAAAACUACUCAAUCCAAAUACUCAUGGUCUCAAUGCAAAAUCAGAAUACGUUUUCGAACAAUAGAAGCACCAAAUGAAAUUGAUCUACGCAUCUGAUAACUAAAAAUCAUAUCUGUGGGUAAAUCGAUUAUAAUUCUUCUGGAAGUAUGGAACCAGUCGAAGUGCGUGAUACUUACAAGGGUAGGUUAGGCAUGCGUACCCAAAGGGUUUACGCCACUGAUGGUGCAAGAUUGGAUUAGUGCUGCAGCCUCUCCAUCUGCCACCCUAAUCACCGGCACGGAGCCAGCGAUGCAGCAAGGUGCAGAGUGGAGAGUUUUUUUUGGGAGAUUUGCUCAUGCCCUCAUGGGAUGGUACCAGAUACCAGCUGCUAUUGCGCCGUAGGAGAUGGCUGGGGAUGGUGUUGUAACUGCUGUUCACUGCUGCGCGUCUCGACGGCGAGACGGCAACGGCAGCAGCUCGGCUACUCAUUCGUCAGGCGUUGCGGCCUAGAGCGGAUCUCCAUGGACCGAGCCCAUCUAGUGGUGAGGGUCCAUCAUGAAAAGUUGGACCGUGCCAGGUCCAUGUAGGCACGCCGUCGCCUCCGAUGACCCAAUGCAAUUUGUCAGCGUUUCCAAAAAAAAUACAAUUUGUGUACUUUAAAGAAAGAAUACAACUUAUCAGAGAAAUUCCACAUGUAUAUGAUCUGUGGUCUAUGCAGAUCCCAACAAACAUCAGUAUUUGGGAAGGUGACAGGGGUUUUGUUUUCAGGAAGCUGGUGUUGGAGGUAUGCCCUAGAGGCAAUCAUAGAGAUGAUGACAUUCCAUUUGUAUCCAUGAUUUGUAUGUUGAAUAUCCAUUGAAGGCUACUUGAAUUGAUUUGCAAUUAUGUGAAUUGUAUGUGAAACUCUUUACUUGUAUGGUUAUUCUAAAGUUGUCCCUAGUCGGAGUUCAUGUGAGGACACACAUGAAUAUUAGACUAGCACAUGUAUUAGUUGAUGACUAUGUUUCACAAGUCAUGGACAUGGAGAUGUUGAACUAAUAAUGUGGACACAUGUGGAGACAUGUGCUAGGACUGACCCAACACGAGAAGUAGUUCUCUCUUUAAACAACAUAUACGCUUUGUCCUUAGACCUGAGAUUGUCGCAUGUAUUCUAGAUGUGGAUCGACCUACUUAGGGGCUAUCAAACGCUACGCCGUAACAGGGUAGUUAUAAAGGUAGUUUUCGGGUUUGUCAAGAAGCAUGCUAUGAGACAUGGUCAAUCAAGAUGGGAUUUGCCCCUCUCUGAUUGAGAGUGAUAUCUCUGGGCCCCUCGAGUGAUCGGAUCCGAAAAUGCAUGGCCAUGCUACGUACGGUUAAGAGUUAACCUACAAAGGGAUUCCGAAUCACAGGAUCGAGAAAGAGCGGUCGGCUUGAAGCUAGACCAAAUAUCGUGAGGCAAAGGGAAUAGCAUGUAUAUUAUGUUGUGAUGGUUCGUCUGAUAUGAUCUUCGUGUGCGUAUAGGAGUUGGCACGUCUUGCUAGAGGCCGCUACCGACUAUUGGGCCGAGUAGGAGUACUCGGGCCAUGUCUAUACGUAUCCGAACCCAUAGGGUCACACACUUAAGGGGCUGGAAGCCCAAUUCGGAUCUGAUCCGAGUUGGAUUAGGUUUAGAAGUACUAAUGGGCCUCGGAUCCAGAGGUCCGUCAGGAACCUCUAUAAAUAGAGGGGUGGGGGCGCCCUAGGGUUUACACCUUUUUGGCGAAAACACACCUGCCGCGCCUCCCACGCCCUCGCCUGUUGCAACUCGCGGAUCUAGCAGUCCGGCUUGCGACGCUUCCUCCCUGCACGUGUGGAUACCUUGGAGGUGUUGCGCCUGCAGCACUUGGACGAGCCGCCGACGAGCCACCGACGAGCCACGACGAGCCGACGACGAGCCGCGGCACCGGAGGCGAUCUUGCUGCACGUGGACGAGCUGCUGAGGAGCUGCUGGACGUGAUCGACUACGUACGACUACGUUGAUCGACUACGUACGACUACGUAAUCGUCUUCACUGCAUCGACGCAUAUCUACAUCUUCCGCACCAGUAGUGCGUCGAGUGGUAAUCCCGUGAUCCUUAUACGGCAGUUCUUCCUGGUUAUACGCGGUAGAAUUUUGAAUUGCGCUAGUGUAGCCUACCUCGUAUCCCUACAGCUGGAUGCAUAACCUGGACGUUUUAGGUUGUGUUGUGUGGUGAAUACAGUGCUAGUCGUCUCCUCUGAUGCUCUCUUGAAAUGGCCGAGUGGCCGACGAUGUUUGUACCGGUCUGGAGUCCUUUCAAUAUCUAACUGUUGCCAGCUGUAUGUAGUUAACUUUCAAGGCUAAUCCCAGUGGGAGUUUCAUAGAUGUUUCAUGCACAUUAAAUACGGUGACACAUCAGCAUAUGUGAUGACAUGGCAUGGUAGUUAUGAAGUGAGAGAGGGAAGGGGUUUCAUCAGGAUGAAACUGUGUAUACACUGUUUCCAAGACUAUGAAACCUAUUGGAACUUGCAUUGGGGGCUAUAGAGUUUCAUUUCAUCUAACCAUAUCCAAUCACAUGCCUCACAAUUAAAUGUCAUGGGCAUCCUAUGAAAUUGUGAAAUGAAACUGUGCACUGGAACUCCCUGUUUCAUUCAUGAGAAUACACCUCAUGGGAUGAUGUGGCAUCCUUAGAAACAGUGCAAUGAAACCUUGCACUGGGACUAGCCUUAGUGUUUGGCAUAAAUGAGUGAAGCUUGCUUGGCCGACAAGAGCAUGUAUUACCCGGAGCUGAUCAAGCUCAGGGCGGGCAUCCAGUCACGGCAAUGUCUCAUGACAGUCGUCGCUUUGCCCGUCCCAUACGGGCACAUCGGACGUUUCCGUGCGCGCAUGACGAUGGUCCCAACGUGUCCACUCAAAGCUUUCUGCCGCUACAGUCUACACAGGGCGCGCGGACUCACCAGCUUCACCAUUUAGUCUGGCGCUUGUGCCUAUCUAUCUUGGUCUUAGAACUGAUUCACCACUCUGUUCGUCCUGCUACUGCCAUCAUCGAAACCUUCCCGCGCCAUACGCUCCCAUGGCUCCGUCGUCCUUGCUGCUCUUCCUCAUCUCGUCGGUGCCAGGUGAUGCUUGCGGCAGCAGCAGCAUACGUGCAAAGGAGGAAAGGACCGCGCGCCUGUGGUAUGCGGCAACCUCAGCAUCUCCUACCCGUUUGGCGUUUGGCGUUUGGGUUACUCUCGGAGGAAGCAACGGAGUAACUGCGCAGCGCAGUGCUCGGAUUCCAAGUCGUUUGCUCAGGCAACACCCUUUACCUCGGGUUAGGUUUUAAGGUAUCGUUGUAGAUUCUCAACAUCUUCUACGGCAUGGGCUCCUUACUCGUUGCCGAUGUCUACAAGCUCCACGACUUCAAUAGCUCCGCGCCCAACUGCUGCCAUGCCCCAGGUGUCAACGUCUCCACCAAGCCCAUUCUCAAUCAGCCCCGUCAAUCAGAACCUCAUAUUUUACAACUGCACCAAGCCAGCGGCAGAGGAGGUGAGGCAGAAACGCGGCCUUGUGGGGACGGCAUGCCGCAACAACACGUUUGUUCGCGCCGGAGGUAGUUACGACGACGAGGGGUCGGGCAGCUACAGCAAUUACUUUCUGGAGGGCUGCAACGCUACCGUCGUGCCGGUGCUUGGGAAUUCUGGCGAGGCGAACGCGAGCAGAUCCGAGAAGCUCAUCAGCGGCGGCUUUCUCUUGACAUGGUACGGUCGUCGUCGCCAGGUAAAUUUCACUAAGAUUAAUUUAAGACCAUCCUACAGGGAGAACGAUGAGCGCACGCGCGAGCAGCGGCAUGAAGGUCCAUGUGGGCGGCGGUGGCAAGCUCUGCACCGCGCCGGCGAGGCCGUGUGUUCGUCGACGGCGGCGACCGCGCGAGUAUGGUGGUGGCGAGAUCUAGCUAGGUGUGCUUUGCGCACGAGUGCACUUUGGCGGCGUUGGCAGCAAACUCGGGGUGGCCAUGCACGAGCUCGAGGGGCGCUGCCGCGACGGCGGGCUCAAGGGACGGGGCCACGGCCAGCUCAAGGUGGCAGCCACCACAAGCUCCGCCUGUAACACAGAUCGAAGGAAAAGUUGAAUUGCUGGAGUCCAAAUCGAAAUUCUAUGGUCCAGAUCGAAGCACAGGAGGAAAAUGAGAGCUUUCAUCAGCAAGGUGCAGGCUUGCCAAUGGAAUAGAAAAUAGAAAAGGAGGCGCGUUUCAAGGCACGGCGAGGCCUGCAGGUGGGCAGCCAGACGUGGACGGCGGCGGCCAUAGGCGGCUGGAGGCGACACGCACGGCGGGAGCCGGGGAGCACGCGCGGGCAGCCAAACGCCGGCGGCCACAGCAACGGGGCGCGCGGCAGGCCAUGCGGGCGGCCGCCACCACGGGCCUGGCGUGGUUGCUCUCAAGCGGCGACUCGCGGACAGCGCAUGGCGGGGCACCAUGGCUACAUAGCGUAGGCGACGGCGACCUCCAUGGUGUGGGGAGCCAUCGAGACGACUUUUUUGUAUUUUUAGAUUUUUUUGAAAGAUUCUCACAAAUACGUCGAACCAAUUUUAAAAAUGGAUCCUUAGCUUGGCACCAUCCACGCUGGCGCCAAGCUACAACGUCUCGGUGCCAGCCACCCUAGCGCCAAGAUCCAUGCGCAGCUGCUGACGCGGAUGUCGAUGGCGCCAAGCUUGACGCCGUAGAUCAUGGCGCCGAGCUAUUUACCCCGUACUUCUUCGCAUUUCGAACUAAACAAGUACAAUUAUUCCGAGGAGUGUGCAAUAAACUAAACUGUGGUUCAACCGGUUAGGAGGUGGGCUUCUUAUCUUGGAGACUUGAGUUCAAACCCCUGUGUUGAACCUUUUUUUCUACAUGACCUUGGCGUCAGGAUGGCUGGCGCCGAGACGUUGUAGCUUGACGCCAGCUAAGGGUCUAUUUUUAAAAUUAGUUUCGUCGUGAGCCUAUUUGUGAGAAUCUUUCGUAAAAAGGGUUUAAAAAAAGUCAGCCAUCGAGAUGGAGCUGCAGGAUGGGUCUCACGAGUCACGAGGGUGGAAACGAGGCCAUGCCCGCAUCGCUAAAAUCGCUGGUUUCAUCAUCUUUGGUGUUACCGAGCCGACAUCGUUUCUCAGGAAGGAAAUCGUUUCCUUCUCUCUUCAAUAAAUGGCUAGCCACAUCAACAAUUCGUCUACGUGACUGUGUAUUUAUUAAUAUGAAAAUUAUUCUCGUCACUGUGGUGGACUGCCUUGAAACGUGAGAGGAGGGUUGCCAUUCGAUUUUCAUUAGAUACAAGCCGGUAGCUGGACGUGCAAAAUCGAAAACUAUAGACCUAGCUUGGUUACUCUUGCUUAUUUUUAUUUUUAGUACCCGUUGUAUCGAAUGUUUAGAUACUAAUUAGGAGUGUUAAACUUAGACUAUUUACAAAACUCAUUAUAUAAGUGGAGGCUAAACGGUGAGAUGAAUCUAUUAAGUCUAAUUAGUUAAUGAUUUGACAAUGUGUUGCUACAGUAAACAUUUGCUAAUGAUGAAUUAAUUAUGUUUAAUAGAUUUGUCUCGCCGUUUAGCCUCCAUCUGUGUAAUGGAUUUUGUAAAUAGUCUACGUGUAAUACUCCUAAUUAGUAUCUAAACAUUUGAUGCGACACGUGUUAAAAAUAAGCAAAGGGAACCAAAAGACUCGUAAUUAUGAGAAAGGUUAGUGACAAUAGGACAACACUGAAUGUCAAUAUUGCUUCUUCUUCCCGUUGGACCUCCGCCUCCCUUGCACACAUCCCCAUUCCUCAAUCCCGUCCAUUUCGCAGCCUCCUAGCUCCUAUACUGAUCGAAUAACAAGCUUGAUGCAUCCGGCCCUGGUCCUCUUCCCGCUGGCCGCCUCCUUGCUCCUCCUCCAAGACCAUGCAAGCGCCGACUGCGAGCCGGCGACAUGCGGGAACCUCACUCUCAGAUACCCAUUCUGGCUGGGCAGCGGCAACCAGACCUCAUCACCCUGCGGCCACCCGUCCUUCGAGGUCUGGUGCAGCGACCGCCGCCGGAGCGUAGCCUCACUGAAGGGCUCCUCCAUGCACAUCCUCUCCAUCGAUUACACCAACUACUACUUCGUCGCCUCCCACACCAGGGUCGCCGCCGCCGACGGCGUGUGCCGCACCGACUUCAACAUGUCGAUCAGCAUCGCGCUCAGCCCGUUCACCAUUAGCCCCCGGAACCGCGCCCUGUGCUUCCUCUACAACUGCACCGGCGGCGCGGCCCCGAUCGGGCCCGACGAGUACGUGAACGCCACCUCCAUCAGCUGCCGUGACCCCAUCUACGCGUACCUCGGCGGGGCCUACUACUGGGACAAGCCGCCGGCGAUCGCGUCGGACGGGUGCACGUACACGUACAUCCCAGUGCUGGGGCGGGAGGCGGAGACCAUGACGGCGGCCAACUACAGCCGGCUCCUGAAGGACGGAUUCGUCCUGGAGUGGGAGGCGGCAGGGAUCGGCGACUGCGCCGCCUGCAACGCGAGGGGCGGGAAGUGCCGGUACGACAAAGCCACCGCGGCGUUCCGGUGCCUCUGCCCCGACGGCAGCCGCGCGGCGGGGUCGACAUGCUCCGGUGAGUAGUCACUCUCCCACUUCCCUCCGUACACGUACAGUAGUCAGCGUGUGUGGACGCCGGCGGGCGACCCGGCGCAUGCCGCUUUCAGCUGCAAGACUUUCUUGGUCCAUUGCAUCAUGCGGAUUGCGGCGUGGCGAAGGCGCAGCGGCGCUGGCGCAUGCAUCGGCGUCGCGGUAGUGCUGCCCAUGGGGUUGGAUCCUCGUAGGCCCCAUGGAGAUUUUGCACGCAGCUCUCGCUCUCAGUAACCUUGGCUAGUUUCCCUCGAUCCACCGGUAGAAUGGCCCGCGGCAGCUGGAGUGAUGGCUAUCUUAAGACUGUGUGGCGCGCGCACUGGCCACGCCGCAAUCCCUGGUAAACGCGUGUGCGGUCAAUGUCGUCUUCCCUGCCGGGGCAGCAGAGCGCUCGCCGCGGCGCGGAGCAACAGGGGAGGGGGCCUGCCGCUGCCGGGCGUCGCUUUCGCCUGCCAUUAGCUUCUCCACGUGCUCUUUCGCGCAUGAUCGUUCCCAUUAAGGGUGUUUGAUACGAGCUGCUAUAGGAGGGUCAUAUCGGAUGUUCGGAUGCUAAUUAGGAGGACUAAACAUGAGCUAAUUAUAAAACUAACUGCAGAACCCCUAUACUAAUUCGCGAGACGAAUCUAUUAAGCCUAAUUAAUCCAUCAUUAGCAACUGGUUACUGUAGCACUACAUUGUCAAAUCAUGGACUAAUUAGACUUAAUAGAUUCAUCUCGCGAAUUAGACUCCAUCUGUACAAUUAGAUUUGUAAUUAGACUAUAAUUAAUACUUCUAAUUAGUAUUCAACAUCCGAUGUGACAUGUCCUAAAGUUUAGGAGGUGGUACCAGUGCGCUGACACAUCAACGGUAGGGUAUAUCAUCACUUGCCUCGAGCUUUAGCUUGAUCCAUAUCUUGUUGCUAUUAGGGGGUGUUUGAUACAAGGUGCUAAAGUUUAGAAGGGCCAUAUCGGAUGUUCAGAUGCUAAUUAGCAGGAUUAAACAUGAGCUAAUUACUAAACUAAUUGCACAGAUGGAGUUUAAUUCGCGAGAUGAAUCUAUUAAGGCUAAUUAAUCCAUCAUUAGCAAAUGGUUACUGCAACACCACAUUGUCAAAUCAUGAACUAAUUAGGCUUAAUAGAUUCGUCUCGCGAAUUAGACUCCACCUGUGCAAUUAGUUUUGUAAUUAGACUAUAUUUAAUACUUCUAGUUAGUAUCCAAACAUCUGAUGUGACAGGUGUUAAAGUUUAGCAGGGUAUCCAAACACCGCCUUAGUAGGUUGCAGUUAGCAUUGCUGACUUGCUGUCUUUGCUGAAGUGUCCAUUUGUGGCAAGUAGGUGCACUAAGUGCGUGAGGCUAGGGUCACAAGUGGUCACCAAAUCUGCACUUCUGAUUUUCUAGUCAAAAUAAUAAGGGGCACUUUUUAUGGACAAGUACCUCAAGUAGGUUUACAUGAUAGUCUUUGGAUCCCAGCCCAAAUUACAGGCAAAUAUUGUCUUGCAGUGUUUGAUUUAUAAAUAUGAAAAAAAAUCCAAAUUAUCAUAGGCUUUGUUCAUAAGCUUAGAGCUUGGAGCUUUGCCGUAGAAAAGCAGCAUGAAUAACCAUUUAGAUGGAAUGCACAAGAAAAACACAUGACUUUGCAGGGGGUCCCACGUGUAUCCUGCUCAAAGCCCCUCCAAUGCUCCAGCAUCUCGGUCACCAGAACAGAGCAGUCAAACUCGGAGACGAGGACCGGUCCACACAUUCAGCACCAUCCUUCGCGCCUUCCUUCCGGCCCCAUUAAGGCUCCUUUAGCACGGCUCAUCCAUUGGCUUCUCGAGUGAUUUUUGAUGAAACCAUGCCAAACAGGCACCGUCAAAACGGCUAGCAAGCAAAAGCCAGGCGGAAGCCCCGCAAAAUGCGCUGAGUGCGUUCCUCCCCGCGCGAGAAGCUAAAAAUAGUGGCUUAUCUUGGCUUCUCCCCGUCGGAACGAGACCAAUUCCAUCGCUAACCUCGGUGCUUACCUGGUGGCGGGGUGGAGCACCGGUCCAGCGGCGGACGGAGGAGGAGAGAGGAGGGGAAAAAGAAAAGAAGGGCCUGGCGGGGUGGCGGCGGAGUGGCGGAGGAGGAGGGCCAGGGUGGUUAGGUGGUGGCGGAGGAGGAGGUCCGGUGCGGCGCCAUCGCGGCGGAUGGGCAGAGGAGGAGGUCCGGUGUAGCGCCGUGUUGGCGGAGGGAGCCGGGGUCGGCGGGGUGGCGCUGGAGGGGUGGAGGAGGAGGGUUGGGUGGAUAAGGUCGGGAGGGAGGUGCCGAUCGGAUAAGGAGAGAAGGGAGGAAAAGAAAAGAAGGGAGAAGGAAAGAGAAAUAAAAAAGAAAGAAAAAGAAAAGAAAAAUGAGGAGAAAAAAAAGAAAAGAGAAAAAAUAUAAGAGUAUUUUGGACAUUUGACACCUUCUUUCCAAUCUAAAAAGCCAGGAGAAGCUGAGCUAGAGCAAAAAAAAAUCUGUUUCAUUCCAGAUGCGCUAGAGCCAGAGCUGUUUUUUCACGAGCCAAAGUCGUGCCAAACGGACCCUAAAUCGUCAGGCUCGCCUCAUGAAUCACCUUCUCUUCUUCUCCGUGUUCUUCCCAAACCGUCUCCUUGUCGACCUCCAGCAACCCCAAGCGUCUUCCCUUGUGUCGCGAAGAUGCACGCGUGUCCUGUUCCUGCCGCUGCCCUGCUGUGCCCAGUCGUGCUACUUCUAGCUCUGCUUCCCAGUCCCGCCACCACCGCUGCCGCCCUGAACACGUCCAACCCCUGCGCGCCGGCGUUGUGCGGCGGCAUCAACAUCGCCUUCCCGUUCUGGCUCGCCGGCAAGCAUCCGCCGGAGUGCGGCUACAAGGCCUACCAGGUCACCUGCGACAAAGGCAAUCUUACUCUCAAGAACUCUUACUGGACGUACCAACUCCUGGACAUCUUCUACCAAAACAGCUCCUUCAGAGCCGACCUGUCUGGAGGCCUCUGCGACUUCAAGAAUUUCGUCAACGCCGCCUCCGACCUCGGCCUCUCGCCGUUCAAGAUUAGCCCCAAGAACCAGGAGCUGUUCUUCCUCUACGACUGCGAACUGCGGGGAAGACACGCACCUCGUUCUUGGACGCUCGUGAACUGUUCGUCGCCGGAUGACCCACCGUGGGCGUUUGCCUUGCUUGGGAAGAAUUACACGCCAGGUGGCACUGGGAUGCCACCGCCGAUGAAUUGCAACGUGUCGACGACUCCGGUGCUGGGAUACGAGGGAGCGACGGGGGCAGACUAUCAACGGCUGCUGAAGGGUGGUUCUCUGCUCGAGUACACGGAUGAUGAGCCCUGCAAGGAUUGCACGGAUACCGGCGGCCGGUGCCGGGUUAAUGUAUCCGACGAUGCGUUCGCGUGCUACUGCAACGACGGUGACGACGGCUGGUUUAUUUGCGGUGAGUAUGUUUAUGCUUAUGAUUUAGAAUUCAUUCUGCUUCUUACUGUUUCCUUCAUCUUGCGUUGCCUCCAUAUUCGACUCGAACCAACGUGCUUAAGCCUAGUAUAUUAGCACAACACAUGUCACUUGCCCAUUAUACAAUGUCAAUGGAAUGCAUUGGAUGCAUACUAGUAGCCAUCAUUCUAUCGACAUGGUAAACUCCAUUUUCAUUCUUUCUUCUCUAUUAAUACAUACCAAGCAGAGUCCUGCUCCUGCAAGCUGUUUCGGAAAAAAGAAGAAUUGGUAACAUCCAAACUAGCAAAGGUGCUAACACUAAAAAAUGUUAAAGAAAUCUUGAGAGAGAGAGAGACGACGAUUAUGCAAAUGCAUCCGCUGUGCAUCCGCUGUAAAUUAACUCCGCCGGCCGCCAUCGCAGUCGAUCUUGACCUCUGGGCUCAUCGUGUCCUUGGAACACGGACACAGAUGUGGCGUACCUUAUUUUGUAACAUAACUUAAGUACUCUCGCCUCUCCUACCCCCACAUCGCAAACAUGUCAAUUACAUGGUCGUAAAUAAUGUAAGGUAACAUAAUACAAAAUAGAAUAAGAGAUUCUGAUGGUCAAGGUGUAGCCUUAAAUACCACAAUGAGGCAAACUGCGGCAUGCGUCAAGUGUAUCAUCCACUAUCAAUGCAUCUCCUUUGUCAAUUGUCGCUUCCAGCUCUAAUAAAAAGGAAGGGCAACAUUAUACACACAAGAAUGGCAGAUCAUAGAUGUCAACUCAGCGGUGUAGCAUAUUAUUUGAAUUUUAUUUGCAAAUUCGGAACUGUCAAAUAUGUCACUCAUUCCUUCCUUUAAGCAAAAGAAUCAAUAAGUGCUAUUUGAUGCUUUUCUAAGCUAAUGCUAUUUCAGGUAGCAAAAGGAUUGGCACGAAGAUAAUAAUAAUGAUAGGUAUGCUACACUUAACAUAAUUUCAUAUCAAGCAAUUCAAAUUUCAGUACUUAUAUACUGCAACAAGUUACUUUUUUAUUUUUAGUCUUCGGAAGACCAGAGAAGAGCUAUUAUAACAUUUAUCAUAUAUGAUCCUGCAUAGAUUCUAAAAUGAAAUUUUAGAACAAGUUAUCCACAAUCUGUGUCUUCUAUUAUAAAUUAGGCAACUUUGAGCAAGAUUCACUGUCCUUAAUUAUAUAGCUUCUUAAUAUUUUCCAGCUAUGCACUUCUUCUUUUAUUUUAUUUCUAUAAAAAGAGAUAACAACGGAUUUUAAUGAUCUUGGAAAUCCGAAUGAUAAUAAUAUAGCAGCUCACCGUUUCAAGAGAAAAAUAACAUCUGCUUUAAUUUCAGUUUGGAUGACAGUAGCUGCAAGCUUGCUCCUACCAUGUAUAUAUGUGCUUGUAUGGCAUAGAAAGAGAGGAAAGCUACAUUUUUUCUUAUGUGAAAAGACUAGCAGAAGCACUCAAAGGAACAUUGAGGCCCUAAUAGUUUUGCAUGGAUCCCUAGCUCCAAAAAGAUACAAGUAUUCAGAAGUAACAAAGAUAACGUCUUCCUUUAGUAAUAAGCUUGGGGAAGGUGGUUAUGGUGCAGUUUUCAAAGGAAGGCUAGAUGAUGGUCGUCAAGUUGCUGUGAAAUUCUUGCAUGAUUCCAAAGGAGAAGGGGAGGAGUUUGUUAACGAGGUUAUGAGCAUUGGUAGGACCUCUCAUGUUAAUAUUGUUAACUUAUUUGGGUUUUGUUUGGAAGGCUCAAAGCGGGCCAUAAUAUAUGAGUACAUGCCCAAUGGUUCUUUGGAUAAGUUCAUAUACUCAGAGAAUCCUAAAGCAGUUUUAGGAUGGGAUAAGCUCUACA
Molecule: long non-coding RNA, 13518 nt
Filed under: Setaria italica (foxtail millet)
Lineage: Eukaryota; Viridiplantae; Streptophyta; Magnoliopsida; Poales; Poaceae
Description: long non-coding RNA (SITA_LNC003488)
Source: RNAcentral